UGCCAGCCGCCGCGGUAAUACGGAGGGUGCAAGCGUUAAUCGGAAUUACUGGGCGUAAAGCGCGCGUAGGUGGCCAAGUCAGUCGGAUGUGAAAUCCCUGGGCUUAACCUGGGAACUGCAUUCGAUACUGCAUAACUAGAGUAUGGUAGAGGGAAGUGGAAUUUCCGGUGUAGCGGUGAAAUGCGUAGAUAUCGGAAGGAACACCAGUGGCGAAGGCGGCCACCUGGACGGUGACUGACGCUGAGAUGCGAAAGCGUGGGGAGCGAACAGGAUUAGAUA
This 279-nucleotide ribosomal RNA is filed under the name uncultured bacterium. RNAcentral describes it as "partial 16S ribosomal RNA". It matches the Rfam family "Bacterial small subunit ribosomal RNA", at positions 506 to 784 of the family's 1533-position model. The record is from RNAcentral.